UGCAGUCGAAACGGCAGAUUGGUAGUAAUACUAAUCCUAGAGUGGCGCACGGGUGCGUAACGCGUAUGCAACCUACCCAUUACUGGGGGAUAGCCCGGAGAAAUUCGGAUUAAUACCCCAUGGUAUUAUUGAACGGCAUCGUUUAAUAAUUAAAGAUUUAUCGGUAAUGGAUGGGCAUGCGUCUGAUUAGUUAGUUGGUGAGGUAACGGCUCACCAAGACGAUGAUCAGUAGGGGUUCUGAGAGGAUGAUCCCCCACACUGGCACUGAGAUACGGGCCAGACUCCUACGGGAGGCAGCAGUAGGGAAUAUUGGUCAAUGGUCGAGAGACUGAACCAGCCAUGCCGCGUGCAGGAAGACGGCCUUCUGGGUUGUAAACUGCUUUUAUACGGGAAUAAAAGACUCAUGCGUGAGGCAUUGCAGGUACCGUAAGAAUAAGGAUCGGCUAACUCCGUGCCAGCAGCCGCGGUAAUACGGAGGAUCCAAGCGUUGUCCGGAUUUAUUGGGUUUAAAGGGUGCGUAGGCGGUCUAUUAAGUCAGUGGUGAAAGCCGACAGCUCAACUGUCGAAUUGCCAUUGAUACUGGUAGACUUGAGUACAGACGAGGUAGGCGGAAUUUAUGGUGUAGCGGUGAAAUGCAUAGAUACCAUAAGGAACACCGAUAGCGAAGGCAGCUUACUGGACUGUAACUGACGC
RNAcentral lists this ribosomal RNA (693 nucleotides) under bacterium SVAL1.31. RNAcentral describes it as "bacterial SSU rRNA". It matches the Rfam family "Bacterial small subunit ribosomal RNA", at positions 56 to 746 of the family's 1533-position model. The record is from RNAcentral.